RNAcentral lists this unclassified non-coding RNA (403 nucleotides) under soil metagenome. RNAcentral's name for it is "partial contains 5.8S ribosomal RNA, internal transcribed spacer 2, and large subunit ribosomal RNA". The stretch from base 1 to 121 matches the Rfam family "5.8S ribosomal RNA", at positions 35 to 154 of the family's 154-position model. The record is from RNAcentral.
GAUGAAGAACGCAGCGAAAUGCGAUAAGUAAUAUGAAUUGCAGAAUUCAGUGAAUCAUCGAAUCUUUGAACGCACCUUGCGCCCUUUGGCUAUUCCGAAGGGCAUGCCUGUUUGAGUAUCAUGAACACCUCAACUCUUCACGGCUUGCCGUGAUGAGUUUGGACUUUGGGGGUCUUGCUGGCCUACGAGCCAGCUCCUCUCAAAUGUAUUAGCUUGCCGGUGUUUGGUGGCAUCACAGGUGUGAUAACUAUCUACGCUUGUGGUUUUCCACUAGGUAACCUUCAGCAAUGGAGGUUCACCGGAGCUCACAAAUGUCUCUCCUUGCCAAGGACAGAUUUUGACCAUUUGAUCUCAAAUCAGGUAGGACUACCCGCUGAACUUAAGCAUAUCAAUAAGCGGAGGA